GCUCAGGAUGAACGCUGGCGGCGUGCCUAAUACAUGCAAGUCGAGCGAACAGACGAGGAGCUUGCUCCUCUGACGUUAGCGGCGGACGGGUGAGUAACACGUGGAUAACCUACCUAUAAGACUGGGAUAACUUCGGGAAACCGGAGCUAAUACCGGAUAAUAUAUUGAACCGCAUGGUUCAAUAGUGAAAGACGGUUUUGCUGUCACUUAUAGAUGGAUCCGCGCCGCAUUAGCUAGUUGGUAAGGUAACGGCUUACCAAGGCAACGAUGCGUAGCCGACCUGAGAGGGUGAUCGGCCACACUGGAACUGAGACACGGUCCAGACUCCUACGGGAGGCAGCAGUAGGGAAUCUUCCGCAAUGGGCGAAAGCCUGACGGAGCAACGCCGCGUGAGUGAUGAAGGUCUUCGGAUCGUAAAACUCUGUUAUUAGGGAAGAACAAAUGUGUAAGUAACUAUGCACGUCUUGACGGUACC
This 475-nucleotide ribosomal RNA is filed under the name Staphylococcus sp. RNAcentral describes it as "bacterial SSU rRNA". It matches the Rfam family "Bacterial small subunit ribosomal RNA", at positions 22 to 479 of the family's 1533-position model. Lineage: Bacteria; Bacillati; Bacillota; Bacilli; Caryophanales; Staphylococcaceae. The record is from RNAcentral.